UAUGGGGUGAUGCAAGGAGUGGGUGUGUGAGAUAAAUGCUGAAUAGGCCUGGGGCACAUUUUGACUCCUGUGGACAAAUCUGGAGGCUGGGAAAUCCAAGAACAUGGCACUGGCAUCAGGCAAGGGUCAGCCCAUGCUGGAGGGCAGAAGGCAGAAGUGAGCAUGUGAGACAGAGAUAAGAAAUUAGGCUGAACUUGCUUGUAUAGCAAACCCAGCCUCUCAAUAACUAACCCGCUCCAGCAAUAAUGGCAUUAAUCCAUUCAUGAGGGCAGAGCCCCCAUGACCUAUUCACAUCCUAAAGGCCCCACAUCAAUCAUAUCUCAACAUGAGGUUCAGAGGACACAAACAUUCAAACCAUAGCAGUCUUCCUGAUCCCUGCCUCAAUAAAUGAGUUGACAUCAGAAGGUCAUCUAUGAUGAACUAUUAACUGAAAAUAUUUGGAGAGCAGAAGGAAAAUGAUAACCAUGGAUUUUUGAGAUAAGAGGAGCCAUUCUGAAUGAGGCAUCAAUUGAGUUGAGACUCACACAAAAGAAAAAUCUCCCUUUGCAGACACCAGGAAGUCUGAAACUGAUUCCAUCUGGUUUGUCUGUGAUGUAUAACAUUACUGGGUCAUUAGUCUUUGCCUUUGCUCAAAGCUAACUCUAGCAUCUGGACCGGCAAUGUCAGAGCCCUCACAGGCAUCCCCACACCAACAAUUCUGUAGCCCACGUGGGAGAAGACCUUUGACUUCAAAGGCUGAAAGAGAAUCAACAAAAAAACCUUUUGGCUCCUUAGUGACUAGAGAAUACAUAAGGCCCAAAAAC
RNAcentral lists this long non-coding RNA (803 nucleotides) under Homo sapiens (human). RNAcentral's name for it is "long intergenic non-protein coding RNA 2209". The record is from RNAcentral. Lineage: Eukaryota; Metazoa; Chordata; Mammalia; Primates; Hominidae.